This is a long non-coding RNA of Mastomys coucha (southern multimammate mouse), 825 nucleotides long. RefSeq lists it as uncharacterized. The record is from RefSeq and is a predicted model, not a curated record. Lineage: Eukaryota; Metazoa; Chordata; Mammalia; Rodentia; Muridae. The transcript is spliced from 3 exons.
GGAAUCUGGCAGACAGAAUAAAGUCAUGGCAACUGAUGCCAUAACACGGUUUUCUUCGGCCAGCUGACUCACCCUGGCAAGGCCUCCAGAGGAUGGGUCCUGCUCUUCUGACCUGGGUUCUUGAGACAGCCGACCUGGGACAAGGGCACAGGAAUCUGAUCAGCUCCUGAUUGCCCCUGGCAUCUCCAUUGUCUCCAUCUCCAUCCCGUGUAUUAGGAGCUGGGUCCUUGUGCCCUGUUCCUCCCCGACCGCAUUGCCUACCUGUCUGUAAAUAGUGCAGGUUCCCAUACAGGGGAACUUCUUCCACGGACCUUCCAGAGCUGCAGCAUAGAGUUUGGAACUCAGCGUUGCCAACACCGCCAGUGUCAAACUUGCUGGUUUCCGGAGAGGAAGGCAGAGAGGAGGGAUGAGCAAAAGAACAAAGACCCCGCCCUGUGCCUGCACCUGCAUCACCCUGAGCUCUCAACUCUCUGAAAUCCCCAUAGCCCUGAGCCCCCUUCAGCAGACAACACACACCGGCCUGUUCUGUACUGCCUGCAGCUAAGUCCACGGAGACUCUGAAGAGCCGAGGUGGCAUGAGAUAGGACUAACAAGGACAGGAACCCUUAGCCACGGGAUGUCCACCAUUUCCCUCUGGCUCACAGUGCCAUGAAGGAGGUACAUGCUCGAUGAGCGUAGCUUUAGAAUUCGCAGCUCUACUACCGGAAAUGGUUGUGUUUAUUUCUGUAGCCCAGGCUGGCUUCAAACGGACCUUCCUUCCUUCCUUCCUUCACCUACCAAUUCUGGAAUUAAAGCCAUGGAAAACCACUAUGACCAGUUGAGAAA